Molecule: RNA transcript, 2711 nt
Organism: Trifolium pratense (red clover)
Lineage: Eukaryota; Viridiplantae; Streptophyta; Magnoliopsida; Fabales; Fabaceae
Gene name: pentatricopeptide repeat-containing protein At1g62670, mitochondrial-like
Exons: 4
Source: RefSeq, a predicted model, not a curated record
GCAGGGAUUCCGGUUAGAUCAAGUUAGUUAUGGGACCUUGAUCAAUGGGUUAUGUAAACUUGGACAAACAAGAACAGCCCUACAACUGCUGAGACGAGUUGAUGAGAAACUGCUUCAACCUACUGUGGUCGGUUAAAAGAAGCAAUUCAUCUGUUUAAUAAAAUGGUAUCGGAAAACAUCAACCAUAAUAUUUAUACCUUUAAUAUAUUGGUUGAUGCAUUUUGUAAAGAAGGAAAAGUGAAAGAAGCUAAAAAUAUGUUUGCUAUGAUGAUGAGAAAAGGUGUUAAACCUGAUGUUGUUACUUAUAACUCUUUAAUGGAUGGAUAUUGCUUAGUUAAAGAAAUUAACAAGGCCAAUGGUAUAUUCAACACUAUGGCUCAGAUGGGAGUGGUUCCUGAUGUUCAAUGCUACAAUAUCAUGAUUAAUGGAUUUUGUAAGAUUAAAAUGGUAGAUGAAGCCAUGAAUCUCUUCAAUGAAAUGCUUUGUAGAAAAAUUAUUCCUGAUACGAUAACUUACAGUUCCCUUAUUGAUGGUUUGUGCAAAUCGGGAAGAAUCUCAUAUGCUUUGGAGCUUGUCGAUGAGAUGUAUGAUAGAGGUCAACCACCUAAUAUAAUUACUUACAAUUCUAUAUUGGAUGCUUUGUGCAAAAACCACCAUGUUGACAAGGCAAUUGCUUUAUUAACAAAAAUUAAAGAUAUGGGUAUUCAACCAAACAUGUGCACAUAUAAUAUUCUUAUUGAUGGAUUGUGUAAAGGUGGAAGAUUGAAUGACGCUCAAAAGGUUUUUGAGGAUCUUCUGGUCAAAGGCUACAAUCUUGAUGUCUAUACAUAUACUGCUAUGAUCCAUGGGUUUUGUAAAAAUGGGUUUCUUGAUGAAGCAUUGGCCAUACUAUCAAAACUGAAAGACAAUAGUUGCAUUCCAAAUGCCGCAACGUAUGAAAUUAUUAUCCGUUCUCUAUUUGAUAAUGAUGAAAAUGAUAAGGCAGAGAAACUUCUUCGUGAAAUGAUUUCAAGAGGUCUGUUGUAAGACUAAAACUAGAAUUUAUUGUUCUUAAUUGAGCUUAAGAAGAUGUGUUGGUCGUAGGAAACUGGGUUAAUUAAGAUUUGUUCUGUUGAGCCUAUCUUAGGGAUACUAAAUUGAAUUGGGACAGAACAAGAGAAAGGAGUUGGAGCUAGUGCAACCUCCUCCUUGUCAGUACCAAAGAAUCGAUGCGGAUUUCAAAUCAUCAAUAGUAAAGUACACAUUUUUUACCUUAUCAUGUUAAAAUAUUUAUACAAAUUAUAGUGGAGGUGUUUACUUUUUGUGUUGUCUGCCAACAAUCAAAGUCAUUUUUAACAUCAUCACAAAAUAUUUAAACCUCAAACAACAAAAACAGUGUUGGUAGCAUUUGGAUCAUAUGUUUGCAGAGAAAAUAGUUAUUAAAAAACACUCGAGACUCUCUAGAUGCGGUUUUGUAUUUUGCACUUUUGUUUUUUGACACAUUGUUUUUAAACUUGCACAUUGACACACAUUGUUUCUUUCAAAUUAUAAAACACUAUGGCAGUAUGGCUCAGAUGGGUCAUGGGAGUGGCUCCUAACGUUCGGAGCUACACUAUCGUGAUUAAUGGAUUUUGUAAGAUUAAAAUGGUAGAUGAAGCCAUUAAUCUCUUCAAUGAAAUGCAUAGCAGAAAAAUUAUUCCUAAUGCGGUAUCGUACACUGCUCUUAUUGAUGGAUCGUGUAAUGUUGGAAGACUAGAGGAUGCACUAGAGAUUUUCAAAGAUCUUUUGGUCAAAGGCUACAAUCUAAAUGUCUAUACAUAUACCGUUAUAAUCAAGGGAUUUUGCAAAACGGGAAUGUUUGACGAAGCAUUGACCAUGCUAUCAAAAUGGAAGACAUUGGUUGCAUUCUGAAUGCUAAAGCUUAUGAAACAGUUAUUUCUUCCCUCCUUAAAAAAGGUGAAAAUUGUAAAGCAUAGAAGCUUUCUUCGUGAAAUGAUUGCAAGAGAUCUACUGUAUGAUCAAGAUGUUAGAAAUAAAGUUUUAAUCCUUCUACUGAAGUCUACCAGGAACAAAUAGGUUAUCAUUUUUUUCCCUACAUUGCAUUGCAUUUAUCCUUUGGAUUUGUGUGUCUGCCCUUCCUUCUGACCAUCUUAAUAGAACUAAUCUUGCAAUUUCUGAUAAAUUUUGAAAACAUUUUCCAAAUGCUGAAGCAUUGAUGUUGGGUUGCACUUCAAAAUUCCAGUGCCCAAGUCUGGGAACAAUGAUUUCAGUCCCCAAAAGUUAAAAAAUCUAAGCACUGUCUUGAUAGGUUGGACAUUUAUUGUUUGCUGAUGUCAUUGAAAUUUGUUUCUUCAUAACCAAUCAUGGAAGCAUUGUCCUUUCAGUUCACGUUGCUAUUUUGUUGUCUGCCAUUAUGUGCAAGACUUUAAAUUCUGCUCAAGUUACUUUGGCAGCUGAUUCUGUUAUUAUUUUAGCUUCAGAAUCAUAUUUUCAGUAAUAAAAUGGAUUGCUUUUGGUUCAUAUUUAGCUAGUAGGGUUCCCUCCUUCUUUUAAAGUAGUUUUCCAUGUUCUGUAAAUUUUAUCUGUUUGAAUAUAUAUGUAAGUAUCUAUCCAAAUGGUCGAUGUCACAAGAAAUUCUGUUUUGUAAGUAUCUUUUAUAGCAAGUCUCCUUUUUGGAGGACAUGAAAUUGAAAGAUGGUUUAGCAUUAUGAUUCUUCUCAUGCUUAGUUGUU